CAAAAGGUAGUUUAAUUAAAAUACCGGCUUUGGGGGCAGGAGUUGUGAGGUAAAUCUUACCUUUUUGA
RNAcentral lists this transfer RNA (68 nucleotides) under Liolaemus millcayac. RNAcentral describes it as "tRNA-Pro". It matches the Rfam family "tRNA". From Rfam's summary of the family: Transfer RNA (tRNA) molecules are approximately 80 nucleotides in length. Their secondary structure includes four short double-helical elements and three loops (D, anti-codon, and T loops). The record is from RNAcentral. Lineage: Eukaryota; Metazoa; Chordata; Lepidosauria; Squamata.